RNAcentral lists this transfer RNA (65 nucleotides) under Daphnia laevis. Its description in RNAcentral is "tRNA-Ser". The record is from RNAcentral. Lineage: Eukaryota; Metazoa; Arthropoda; Branchiopoda; Diplostraca; Daphniidae.
GAAAUAAAAGUAAGAAAAGAGCUGCUAACUCUUUUUCUAAGCGGUUGAAUUCCGUUUGUAUUUCU